Molecule: ribosomal RNA, 679 nt
Filed under: Flavobacterium sp. 782
Lineage: Bacteria; Pseudomonadati; Bacteroidota; Flavobacteriia; Flavobacteriales; Flavobacteriaceae
Also listed under: 1 other name
Description: bacterial SSU rRNA
Rfam family: Bacterial small subunit ribosomal RNA
Source: RNAcentral
ACUGUUAGACUUGAAUUAUUAGGAAGUAACUAGAAUAUGUAGUGUAGCGGUGAAAUGCUUAGAGAUUACAUGGAAUACCAAUUGCGAAGGCAGGUUACUACUAAUUGAUUGACGCUGAUGGACGAAAGCGUGGGUAGCGAACAGGAUUAGAUACCCUGGUAGUCCACGCCGUAAACGAUGGAUACUAGCUGUUGGAAGCAAUUUCAGUGGCUAAGCGAAAGUGAUAAGUAUCCCACCUGGGGAGUACGUUCGCAAGAAUGAAACUCAAAGGAAUUGACGGGGGCCCGCACAAGCGGUGGAGCAUGUGGUUUAAUUCGAUGAUACGCGAGGAACCUUACCAAGGCUUAAAUGUAGAUUGACCGGUUUGGAAACAGAUCUUUCGCAAGACAAUUUACAAGGUGCUGCAUGGUUGUCGUCAGCUCGUGCCGUGAGGUGUCAGGUUAAGUCCUAUAACGAGCGCAACCCCUGUUGUUAGUUGCCAGCGAGUCAAGUCGGGAACUCUAACAAGACUGCCAGUGCAAACUGUGAGGAAGGUGGGGAUGACGUCAAAUCAUCACGGCCCUUACGCCUUGGGCUACACACGUGCUACAAUGGCCGGUACAGAGAGCAGCCACUGGGCGACCAGGAGCGAAUCUAUAAAACCGGUCACAGUUCGGAUCGGAGUCUGCAACUCGACUCC